This 526-nucleotide ribosomal RNA is filed under the name Degeeriella nisus. Its description in RNAcentral is "partial 12S ribosomal RNA". Lineage: Eukaryota; Metazoa; Arthropoda; Insecta; Psocodea; Philopteridae. The record is from RNAcentral.
AGAGGAGGGCCAAAAUACAGGAAAGGUCUAGUAGGUAAAAGGUGUCUUGAGCCGAGCAAACAGAGAACAUGGCGGUCUGUCGGCAGGAUAGAGGGAUAUGCACGUGAAUGAAACUGCACAUAUUUCUUACUCUCUUUCGAAUCAUGCCCAUCUUGUACACCGCUAUCUGAAAUGUAGAAGGAGAUCGUUCUACCUGUCCUAAGUUACACCGUAAAUGUUGUAUCAUGGAUGUAAAAAUGUAAAGGCGGUAGGGAAAAUAACCUCUGGCUAGAGCAAUUAUAUCGUAUAGGGCCUGUAAGUUAAGUUUAGGUGCAGAUGAUAGGGGAGUAGUAGUGUAUUCCAGUGUAAGUGUGACAAUACGAGGGGUGUCUUAGAAUGUGAGUAAAAUCCUUAUAGAUGUCUUUCAGAUCGUUUUUAGGGACUAAGGGUGCAAAAGUGUCCAAGGUACAUAGAAUUUAUAAGUAAAGCUAUUGAGAUCUCAAUCCUUGCUUGAAAUAAUCGUGUAAAACAUUGCAACGACAGACGU